CCUACGGGAGGCAGCAGUGGGGGAUAUUGCACAAUGGGGGGAACCCUGAUGCAGCGACGCCGCGUGGGUGAAGAAGCGCCUCGGCGCGUAAAGCCCUGUCAGCAGGGAAGAAAAUGACGGUACCUGAAGAAGAAGCCCCGGCGAACUACGUGCCAGCAGCCGCGGUAAUACGUAGGGGGCAAGCGUUAUCCGGAUUUACUGGGUGUAACGGGGGCGCAGACGGCGAUGCAAGCCAGGGGUGAAAGCCCGGGGCCCAACCCCGGGACUGCUCUUGGAACUGCGUGGCUGGAGUGCAGGAGGGGCAGGCGGAAUUCCUGGUGUAGCGGUGAAAUGCGUAGAUAUCAGGAGGAACACCGGUGGCGAAGGCGGCCUGCUGGACUGCAACUGACGUUGAGGCCCGAAAGCGUGGGGAGCAAACAGGAUUAGAUACCCGUGUAGUU
This 440-nucleotide ribosomal RNA is filed under the name uncultured bacterium. RNAcentral describes it as "partial 16S ribosomal RNA". It matches the Rfam family "Bacterial small subunit ribosomal RNA", at positions 338 to 795 of the family's 1533-position model. The record is from RNAcentral.